This 164-nucleotide ribosomal RNA is filed under the name uncultured bacterium. RNAcentral's name for it is "partial 16S rRNA". It matches the Rfam family "Bacterial small subunit ribosomal RNA", at positions 355 to 511 of the family's 1533-position model. The record is from RNAcentral.
UAGGGAAUCUUCCACAAUGGACGAAAGUCUGAUGGAGCAACGCCGCGUGAGUGAAGAAGGGUUUCGGCUCGUAAAACUCUGUUGUUAAAGAAGAACAUAUCUGAGAGUAACUGUUCAGGUAUUGACGGUAUUUAACCAGAAAGCCACGGCUAACUACGUACCAC